This 205-nucleotide microRNA precursor is filed under the name Oryza meridionalis. RNAcentral describes it as "MIR812 microRNA precursor family". It matches the Rfam family "MIR812 microRNA precursor family". The record is from Rfam by way of RNAcentral. Lineage: Eukaryota; Viridiplantae; Streptophyta; Magnoliopsida; Poales; Poaceae.
AAAGACUUCAUUUUUCAGUUUUUGGAUACAACGUUUUGAUUCUUCGUCUUAUUUAAAAAAUACUCUAUGAUUAGUAUUUUUAUUGUUAUUGAAUGAUAAAACAUAAAUAGUACUUUAUACGUGGCUAAUUUUUUUUUAUUUUUUUCAUAAAAUUUAAAAAAAAGGACGGACGGUUAAAUAUUGGACACAAAAACCUAAAAUUAGA